UUGAAUUUUAAUUUAAAGUCUAGCCUGCCCACUGAAAUUAAUUUUAAUGGCCGCAGUAUUUUGACUGUGCAAAGGUAGCAUAAUCAUUAGUUUUUUAAUUGAAAGCUUGUAUGAAAGGUUGGACGAGGUAAAAUCUGUCUCUAUUUAAUUUAUUUUAGAAUUUAAUUUUUAAGUUAAAAAGCUUAAAUUUUAUUAAAAGACGAGAAGACCCUAUAGAUCUUUAUAAUUUUUUUUAUAAAUUUAAUUAUGAAUUAUUUAGAAUUUAUAAUAUAAAUUAUUUUAUUGGGGUAAUAAAAAGAUUAAAAUAAUUCUUUUUUAUUUUUAACAUUAAUUUAUGAAUUUAAUGAUCCAAUUUUAUUGAUUAUAAGAUUAAGUUACCUUAGGGAUAACAGCGUAAUUUUUUUAGAGAGUUCAUAUCGAUAAAAAAGUUUGCGACCUCGAUGUUGGAUUAAAGAUUAGUUUAGGUGUAGAAGUUUAAAUUUUUGGUCUGUUCGACCAUUAAAUCUUUACAUGAUCUGAGUUCAGACCGGCGUAAGCCAGGUCGGUUUCUAUCUUUAAUAAUUUUAAAAUAUUUUAGUACGAAAGGACCAAAUAUUUAAUAUAUUUAUAUUUUAUUUUUUGAAUAUUAUUAAAUUGUUUUGGCAGAUUAGUGUAAUGAAUUUAGAAUUCAUAAAUGUAAUUAUUUUUACAAACAAUACUUGUUUUAUAUAGAUUUAAUUUUUUCUUUAAUUUGUAUAUUUUUAUUAAUUAUUUGUGUUUUAGUUGGGGUAGCAUUUUUAACUUUAUUAGAGCGAAAAGUUUU
This 802-nucleotide ribosomal RNA is filed under the name Pseudomigadops n. sp. MSL2007. RNAcentral describes it as "partial 16S ribosomal RNA". The stretch from base 1 to 580 matches the Rfam family "Bacterial large subunit ribosomal RNA", at positions 1891 to 2925 of the family's 2925-position model. Lineage: Eukaryota; Metazoa; Arthropoda; Insecta; Coleoptera; Carabidae. The record is from RNAcentral.